AGCUCCAACAGCGUAUAUUAAAGUUGCUGCAGUUAAAACGCUCGUAGUUGUUGUCCAACUAUACGUCAUACUUCGCAUGAAGUGGUGAUUCAUUAGUUUAGUAGAAGUUUUUCUACCAAAACCUUGAGGAAAGAUUAGUGUUCCAAGCAAUUCAUGUUUGUCCUCCCCAGCAUGGUAUAUAACCAAAUCGAAGGAGAAGUUUGCCAAUUCUUCAUCAUACUAAAUAGAAAUUCUAGGGGGUAUACGUACUUUAAUGUCAGAGGUGAAAUUCCUAGAUUUUUAAGAGACGAUCAAAUGCGAAAGCAUUCACCAAGCGACUUUUCU
RNAcentral lists this ribosomal RNA (324 nucleotides) under uncultured eukaryote. Its description in RNAcentral is "SSU rRNA". It matches the Rfam family "Eukaryotic small subunit ribosomal RNA", at positions 587 to 972 of the family's 1831-position model. The record is from RNAcentral.